GUGGGGAAUCUUGCACAAUGGGGGAAACCCUGAUGCAGCGACGCCGCGUGAACGAUGAAGCCCUUCGGGGUGUAAAGUUCUUUCGACAGGAACGAUAAUGACGGUACCUGGAGAAGAAGCUGCGGCUAACUACGUGCCAGCAGCCGCGGUAAUACGUAGGCAGCGAGCGUUGUUCGGAGUUACUGGGCGUAAAGAGUGCGUAGGCGGCGAGCCAAGUUUGGUGUGAAAUCUCCCGGCUUAACCGGGAGGGUGCGCUGAAAACUGGUUGGCUGGCGUAUGGGAGAGGAAAGCGGAAUUCCUGGUGUAGCGGUGAAAUGCGUAGAUGUCAGGAGGAACACCUGCGGUGUAGACAGCUUUCUGGACCAAAACUGACGCUGAGGCACGAAAGC
RNAcentral lists this ribosomal RNA (389 nucleotides) under uncultured bacterium. Its description in RNAcentral is "bacterial SSU rRNA". It matches the Rfam family "Bacterial small subunit ribosomal RNA", at positions 354 to 760 of the family's 1533-position model. The record is from RNAcentral.